GCCACCUUCAUCAGGAGCGUGCCAUUGAUAUCCCACGGAAAACUAUCACCAUCAUAUCUCUCUUUCCACCUGAGUGGUGAGCUUAUGAGAGAAGAAGGGCUAUUUAUGGCGAUGAAGGAGGCCGAAAAGAGGAAUUCAAAUCAGAAAAUACUGGUACAGAACUAAAGGAAAUCAUGGAGAAAGCAGACCUGAGAAAGUUCUUGAAGAUUGUUUGGGUCAUCCUUGUAAGCAAACUGUUCGUGGAUGGAACUCUGGUGACGCGUCUGGGAUAUGAUAUCGAGGAUGGAAAGG
Molecule: long non-coding RNA, 291 nt
Organism: Eublepharis macularius
Lineage: Eukaryota; Metazoa; Chordata; Lepidosauria; Squamata; Eublepharidae
Exons: 3
Source: RefSeq, a predicted model, not a curated record